RNAcentral lists this ribosomal RNA (459 nucleotides) under uncultured bacterium. RNAcentral's name for it is "partial 16S ribosomal RNA". It matches the Rfam family "Bacterial small subunit ribosomal RNA", at positions 338 to 795 of the family's 1533-position model. The record is from RNAcentral.
CCUACGGGAGGCAGCAGUGGGGAAUAUUGGGCAAUGGGCGGGAGCCUGAACCAGCCAAGUCGCGUGAAGGAAGAAGGUACUGAGUAUUGUAAACUUCUUUUGUCGGGGAACAAAGGCGGAGACGCGUCUCCGGAUGAGUGUACCCGAAGAAAAAGCAUCGGCUAACUCCGUGCCAGCAGCCGCGGUAAUACGGAGGAUGCGAGCGUUAUCCGGAUUUAUUGGGGUGAAAGGGUGCGCAGGCGGGAGAUCAAGUCAGCGGUAAAAUGUCGGGGCUCAACCCCGGCCGGCCGUUGAAACUGGUUUUCUAGAGUUGGAGAGAAGUAUGCGGAAUUCGUGGUGUAGCGGUGAAAUGCUUAGAUAUCACGAAGAACCCCGAUUGCGAAGGCAGCUUACUAAACUGUGACUGACAUUGAUGCUCGAAAGUGUGGGUAUCAAACAGGAUUAGAUACCCCUGUAGUC